Molecule: small nuclear RNA, 171 nt
Organism: Drosophila willistoni
Lineage: Eukaryota; Metazoa; Arthropoda; Insecta; Diptera; Drosophilidae
Product: U1 spliceosomal RNA
Exons: 1
Source: RefSeq, a predicted model, not a curated record
UCAGUUUACCGGCGCUGUGGUUAGGUCGUGAUCAAGAAGGCGACUGCACUGGAACAAUGCUUGGCCCUUGCACUUUCGGCUUAGAUUGACUUCUACGAUUGUUCCGAAUAUAAGGAAUAUUUCGCGCGUUAAAUUUUUGUUAGCCGGGAAUGGCGUACGCGCCGUCCCGAC